ACGUGAUCUGAGUUCAGACCGGAGUAAUCCAGGUCAGUUUCUAUCUAUAAAGAGCUUCUUCUAGUACGAAAGGACCGAAAAAGCAUGGCCAAUACCUAAUGCAAGCCAUCUAUAAUAAUUUAUGAUUACAACUUAAUAAACAAUUUAUCUUUUAAGUCCCUCAAGAAAAGAGA
Molecule: ribosomal RNA, 173 nt
Filed under: Ololygon sp. KAV16
Lineage: Eukaryota; Metazoa; Chordata; Amphibia; Anura; Hylidae
Description: partial 16S large subunit ribosomal RNA
Source: RNAcentral